UGUGCACACUAUUAAAGCUCAGAGCUGAGGCCGUCAUGGCUGCUGAACUCCUGAGUGUCGGAAGUGUGCGACAGUAACACGGCAGGAUUUUCGCUAACACCGUCAGAGCCUCCAGCUCUAUGACCGGGGUUUGAUAGUGAUCGCUGCCACAGUC
Molecule: small nucleolar RNA, 154 nt
Organism: Bombina bombina (fire-bellied toad)
Lineage: Eukaryota; Metazoa; Chordata; Amphibia; Anura; Bombinatoridae
Source: RefSeq, a predicted model, not a curated record